CCUACGGGAGGCAGCAGUAGGGAAUCUUUCACAAUGGGCGAAAGCCUGAUGGAGCAACGCCGCGUGCAGGAUGAAGGCCUUCGGGUUGUAAACUGCUUUUAUAAGCGAGAAAUAUGAUGGUAACUUAUGAAUAAGGAUCGGCCAACUACGUGCCAGCGGCGGCGGUCAUACGUCGGGCCCGAGCAUUAUCCGGAGUGACUGGGGGUAAAGAGUUGCGUAGGUGGGAUAAUAAGUAGCUAGUGGAAUCUGGGGGCUCAACCAUUCAGACUAUAAUCUAAACUGUUAAGCCCGAGAACGUUAGAGGUAACCGGAAUUUCUAGUGUAGGAGUGAAAUCCGUAGAUAUUAGAAAGAACACCGAUUGCGAAGGCAGGUUACUAAGACGGUACUGACACUAAGGCACGAAAGCGUAGGGAGCAAACGGGAUUAGAUACCCGUGUAGUC
RNAcentral lists this ribosomal RNA (442 nucleotides) under uncultured bacterium. RNAcentral's name for it is "partial 16S ribosomal RNA". It matches the Rfam family "Bacterial small subunit ribosomal RNA", at positions 338 to 795 of the family's 1533-position model. The record is from RNAcentral.